AUGGCUGACCGUCACCUUGGGCGUGCCGUAGCCUACGCCAAUCCUGGUGACCAGCGUUGGGCGGUGGUGGAUGACGAGAUGUGGAGGCCAGACCAACCCUUGUCAUGUCGAUUCUCGUCGGCCUCAACCAUGCGGGGGUGCUUCUACUUUGCAACUGUCGAGGGGUACAUAAUACAGGUAAGGCUCUGCCCAGAGCCUCGUCUGGUGCCCGUGGUUGUGGACCAGCCCAACACCCAGUACAACAUGUUCUGCUACCUCGUCCCUCCGGAUGACCACCGCUGCGGUGGCAUGCUCAUGGUGCGCUACUACCUCAACCUUGAUCACCUCAGCGCCGACGAGCAAAGAAUCAUGAAACGCAGGAGGAAGGUCAUGGACGUGAUCAGGGUGGAGCACCAUGUGAAGGCGCAACGGUGGAACCUGAUUCAGUUGUUUGAGGUGGAUGUGGCCGGGAAGAGACUUGUUCCGGUGGAGGACAUUGGCCGCCACCGCGCCGUGUUUGUCGGGGAUGUGGCGUGCUUCUCCCUCUCGGCCAGGAGGUUUCCAUGCGUGGCAGGGAACGCCGUGUACAUGGGGGCGCGCGGUGCCCGCUGCCCUCCCGUCGGCGUGCGGUAUCUGGCAGACAAGACUGCUGAUCCGUCGUUUGUGUUCACCACAGAUGUGCCAGGAUUUCUAGAAUGUAAAGCAAUGAAACAGUACCGCGAGAAGAUACCGGAGCUGAAUCUAGUGCCUCUUGCUCGCCCUUGUACGCUCCAAGAGUACCUCGUCUGUUGCGCAGGCCUCCUCGGCGGCCUCAAAGACUAA
This 801-nucleotide ribosomal RNA is filed under the name Triticum aestivum (bread wheat). RNAcentral describes it as "partial small subunit ribosomal RNA". Lineage: Eukaryota; Viridiplantae; Streptophyta; Magnoliopsida; Poales; Poaceae. The record is from RNAcentral.